RNAcentral lists this long non-coding RNA (202 nucleotides) under Elaeis guineensis (African oil palm). RNAcentral's name for it is "long non-coding RNA (EGUI_LNC043407)". Lineage: Eukaryota; Viridiplantae; Streptophyta; Magnoliopsida; Arecales; Arecaceae. The record is from RNAcentral.
GGGGUUGACUCGCCAUCUCUUGAGGUCGAUUCAAGAAGCACAUUGAUUUUUGUUGUCCUGUGUUUUGCAUCUGUGAUCAUUCUAGGAUGGACCUGAUUAAAAUUGUGAUCGACUCAUGAAGUGCUGAGAUCAACUUGGGAAUAUGCCACUUUUACUGCUUUCUGUUUCACCUUGAGACCACUCUAGGGUUGACUUGAUUGGA